This 1519-nucleotide ribosomal RNA is filed under the name Barbulanympha sp. Cp38. Its description in RNAcentral is "SSU rRNA". It matches the Rfam family "Eukaryotic small subunit ribosomal RNA". The record is from RNAcentral. Lineage: Eukaryota; Parabasalia; Trichonymphida; Barbulanymphidae.
AAGGAAGCAUACUUCGGUCAUAGAUUAAGCCAUGCAAGUCUCAGUUCAGGUAACAAAACUGCGAAAAGCUCCUUAACACACUCAGUACCUAUUUGACAGCGACACUCUAGUCUUACAUGGAUAGCAGAAGUAAUCCUUGUGCUAAUACAUGCUAGUGUUCCACCAGAAAUGGCCUAUGGUGGAAAAGUCGACCUUUGCAGGUCUGUCAUAUGGAUGAGUGGCCUAUCAGCUAUUACUUAGGGUCUUGACCUAGGUAGGCUAUAACGGGUUACGGGCGGUGAACGUCGGACUGCCGGAGAAGGUGCCUGAGAGACAGCAACUAUGCCUACGGGCAGCAGCAGGCGCGAAACUUACCCACUCGAGAUGCUCGGAGGUGGUAAUGACCAGUUCUAACGUGAAAUUUAUUUCAUAUUAGAUAGGAUAGUAUGCAAAAAUCGCUAUGCAAUCUAGCAGAGGGCCAGUCUGGUGCCAGCAGCUGCGGUAAUUCCAGCUCUGCAAGUUUGCUCCCAUAUUGUUGCAGUUAAAAGGCCCGUAGUCAGACCUCAUCAGAUGAGGAAAUUUACCGUUCACUGCGACUAAAUCAGGAUGCUCAAAGUAUGCCUACACGAAUGACCUAGCGCAGUAUGAUCUUUUUGCUUUUCGAAGCAAGAUCAAAGGGAGCCAUUGGGGAUAGCCUUAUUCCAUGUCGAGCGGUGGAAUGCAUUGACACAUGGGAGAAGAACUACAGCGAAAGCAGCUAUCUAGAGGGUUUCUAUCGAUCAAGGGCGAGAGUAGGAUUAUCCAACCGGAUUAGAGACCCGGGUAGUUCCUACUGUAAACGAUGUCGACUGGGGAUUGACUUUCGAAGUCAGCACUCUUAGAAAAUCAAAGUUCUUGGACUCUGGGGGGAACUACGAUCGCAAGACUGAAACUUGAAGGAAUUGACGGAAGGGCACACAAUGAGGUGGAGCCUGUGGCUUAAUUUGAAUCAACACGGGGAAACUUACCAGGACAAGAUGAAUUGGUGACUGACAGUCUAAAGGGCUUUUAGGAUAGAUCUUUGGGUGGUGCAUGGCCGUUGGUGGUGCGUGGGUUGGCUUGUCUAGCGUUGAUUCAGAUAACGAGCGAGAUUACCGCCAGAUAGUAGUUGCUUCCAGUUCGCUGGGAUGUUGCUUUAUUUGGGACUGCCUGGUCAAGAGCAGGAGGAAGGAGGUAGCAAUAACAGGUCCGUGAUGUCCUUUAGAUGCCCUGGGCUGCACGCGUGCUACAAUGUGAAUACCAAACGGAAAAGGCCACGAUGGAAGUCGAAGCUACUCCGGAAUCAUUCACGUAGUUGGGAUUGAUGGUUGGAAUCACCCUCAUGAACUAGGAAUCUCUUGUAAAUGUGCGUCAACAUCACACGUUGAAUACGUCCCUGCCCUUUGUACACACCGCCCGUCGCUCCUACCGAUUGGAUGACCUGGUGAAAUUGCCGGACUUUGCGAGGAAAGGUCAUUAAAUCAUGUUAUUUAGAGGAAGGAGAAGUCGUAACAAGGUAUCG